AAGCCGGACGGUCGUCCAGUUGGAGCGGGACCGGAGGAGAAGCAGCUGCGAAGGAAAACGUGAAAACGAAUGACCUUCAGGAACAAGAUGGAUGACACGACUGCUUCAUGGACAGGAAGCAGAAGCAUCGACUGUACAGAAGAUGAUGGCAGGGUGACUGAGCCAUGUGAUGCCCUCAGGAACGUCGUUAAUGGCUCAUCAGAAUCAAUGAUGAAGGUCCAGUUUGAUGGGUGACUGAUCUGUCUGCUGUACAGCCAACAUACUCCAUCAGUGGUGAAGAUGUUGAACCACCAGGAGGAGCGGCACAAAUGCUCCGGGCAGAUCCACCUGGGAGCAGCUCAGGGUCCUCUGGCCUGACUUUGGAUAAACCGUUCACUGGAUGUUUCCUCAGUGUAUUUGAUUUAUUUUAAGAUACCAUACGAUAAAUGAAUCUUCUGUUUCCUCCAUUUGACGGUAUUGUACAGAUGUUUGAAACUCUGAAUAAAUGUGUGUAACUGGAUCAAUGACUCUGUUGCUGUAACUGAAAUAACCAAAAACAUGAGCCCAGUCAGUCCAGUGAGACGGGACUUGGUCCGUUUAACUGCCG
RNAcentral lists this long non-coding RNA (586 nucleotides) under Echeneis naucrates (live sharksucker). RNAcentral describes it as "lncRNA (ENSENLG00000002317.1)". Lineage: Eukaryota; Metazoa; Chordata; Actinopteri; Carangiformes; Echeneidae. The record is from RNAcentral.